This 467-nucleotide ribosomal RNA is filed under the name uncultured actinomycete. RNAcentral describes it as "bacterial SSU rRNA". It matches the Rfam family "Bacterial small subunit ribosomal RNA", at positions 254 to 733 of the family's 1533-position model. Lineage: Bacteria; Bacillati; Actinomycetota; Actinomycetes; Actinomycetales. The record is from RNAcentral.
GGGGUAACGGCCUACCAAGGCGACGACGGGUAGCCGGCCUGAGAGGGCGACCGGCCACACUGGGACUGAGACACGGCCCAGACUCCUACGGGAGGCAGCAGUGGGGAAUAUUGCGCAAUGGGCGAAAGCCUGACGCAGCGACGCCGCGUGCGGGAUGAAGGCCUUCGGGUUGUAAACCGCUUUCAGCAGGGACGAAGCGAAAGUGACGGUACCUGCAGAAGAAGCGCCGGCUAACUACGUGCCAGCAGCCGCGGUAACACGUAGGGCGCAAGCGUUGUCCGGAAUUAUUGGGCGUAAAGAGCUCGUAGGUGGUUCGCCACGUCUGUUGUGAAAAUCCARGGCUCAACCCUGGACUUGCUGCGGAUACGGGUGAACUAGAGGUAGGUAGGGGAGACUGGAAUUCCCGGUGUAGCGGUGAAAUGCGCAGAUAUCGGGAGGAACACCGGUGGCGAAGGCGGKUCUCUGGG